This 407-nucleotide unclassified non-coding RNA is filed under the name fungal sp. Its description in RNAcentral is "partial internal transcribed spacer region". The stretch from base 1 to 46 matches the Rfam family "Eukaryotic small subunit ribosomal RNA", at positions 1786 to 1831 of the family's 1831-position model. Lineage: Eukaryota; Fungi. The record is from RNAcentral.
AAGUCGUAACAAGGUUUCCGUAGGUGAACCUGCGGAAGGAUCAUUAACACGUAUCCAACGUUAAACCCCCCGUGCACCUUCACGGAGCGCGCUGCUCCUCUCGACGUCAGCAAUCCUGGUAAAUCAGUGGCGAAAGUAGUCUUUGAUUCAGGACCUCUGAAGUUGUAAGCAGGCAGUUUGAGCCUUCUAUCGCCAGUCUGGAGUCCUGGCCGGGCGGAUGAAAGUGUCGCUAGACGGUUUCUAGGGUAAGGCUUCUCCAUCGCCGGUGUAUCACACGCCGAAGCGGACAGACUGCAGGGUGUAGUGCCCCUUUACGACGACCAAGUUAAAUUAGGCCUCUACCACAUAGCAAGUGCGCCGUGGUAGAGGAAAACGUACAACUGUUAACAAUGGAUAUCUUGGUUCUC